AAGUGUAACAAGGUUUCCGUAGGUGAACCUGCGGAAGGAUCGUUAAAAAAUGAGACCUGAUUCAAGGUCUAUUAUAUCCUACCUUUGUGAAUUUGUUUGUUUUAAUAUGUGUCUUUCCUGUUUGGUUUGAGCUUUGUUUAAAAGUUUCGAACUUCAGGGAAUGGCAAAACUUUUUUUAAAUUAAACUUUUUGUAUUCAUUUGUCUAAAAUUAUUUUAUAAUAUAUAAAACAACUUUUGACAAUGGAUCUCUUGGUUCUCGCAACGAUGAAGAACGCGCAAAAUGCGAUAAGUAGUGUGAAUUGCAGAAUACGUGAAUCAUCGAAUCUUCGAACGCAUAUUGCACUUUUUUGGUUUACCAAAAAGUAUGUCUGUUUGAGUAUCAGUAAAAUAUUCUCAUAAAACUAUUUGUUUUUAUGGUUAUGAGUGUUUUACAACGAUAAACAAGUUGUUUCACUUUAAAUUCUUUGUCUUUUAAAAAAUCAUUAAAAACUGAUUUUUUUUAAAUUGGAUAAAAUUUUCCCGUAAAAAGGAAUAACUAAACAAUUUUAAUUUAAAAUUGGUUUGAUUUCUUUUAAGACUUUAAAGGAAAAAAAGUAAAAAUUAACUUGAUCUCAAAUCAGAUAAGAGUACCCGCUGAACUUAAGCAUAUCAAUAAGCGGAGGAAAAGAAACUAACUAGGAUUCCCUCAGUAACGGCGAGUGAAGCGGGAAGAGCUCAAAUUUGAAAUCUUCAAGGUUCUACCUUGACGAAUUGUAGUUUAAAGAAGUGUUUUCUGUUGGAGUUUGGUAAAAGUUCUUUGAAUAGGAAUCAUAGAGGGUGAGAAUCCCGUAUUUGACAUUAUUCCAACUUUGUGAUACACUUUCAAAGAGUCGGAUUGUUUGGGAAUGCAGUCCAAAAUGGGUGGUAAAUUUCAUCUAAAGCUAAUACUGGCGAGAGACGAUAGCGAACAAGUACCGUGAGGGAAAGAUGAAAAGAACUUGAAAAGAGAGUAAACAGUACGUGAAAUUGUCAAAGGGAAGCGUUUGACACCAGUGUUGUUUCUCGAAAAUCAAUUAAAAAUGGCGGGAUUUUGUGUUGUAUUACUUUAUCAGCUUUCUGCACUUUUUUCCUGUCUUUUUUAAUGCACUUUUCGUUUAACAAGUCAACAUCAAUUUCUUUUGUUGUAAAAGGGUCAUUGGAAGGUGGCUUCUUUUCGAGAAAGUGUUUAUAGCUUUGGCUCUGCAAUCGGAGAGAUUGAGUCUGCAGCGUAGAUCCUUCGGGUUAGAUGCAUUUGUGCUAAGCUAUAGCCUUUCAUAGACAACUUGUUGACUAUGAUCAGUCAUGUAGCUUACUCGCUUAUGUCAUUUUACUACGCUUAGGAUGUUGAG
Molecule: unclassified non-coding RNA, 1368 nt
Filed under: uncultured Neocallimastigales
Lineage: Eukaryota; Fungi; Neocallimastigomycota; Neocallimastigomycetes; Neocallimastigales
Description: partial contains small subunit ribosomal RNA, internal transcribed spacer 1, 5.8S ribosomal RNA, internal transcribed spacer 2, and large subunit ribosomal RNA
Rfam family: Eukaryotic large subunit ribosomal RNA (bases 608-1368)
Source: RNAcentral